GGAAUGUGGCUCAAGUGGUAGCAUGCUCGCCUAACAUGUGUGAGGAACUGGGUUCGAUUCUCAGCACCA
RNAcentral lists this transfer RNA (69 nucleotides) under Marmota monax (woodchuck). RNAcentral describes it as "tRNA.Val". Lineage: Eukaryota; Metazoa; Chordata; Mammalia; Rodentia; Sciuridae. The record is from RNAcentral.